Molecule: long non-coding RNA, 582 nt
Organism: Toxotes jaculatrix (banded archerfish)
Lineage: Eukaryota; Metazoa; Chordata; Actinopteri; Toxotidae
Exons: 2
Source: RefSeq, a predicted model, not a curated record
CGCUCUGCUCCGUCGCCUCUGUCAAUAAGUUAGGUCAGCGACGUAGAGAUGGGCUGGUAAAUCUAUCUCAUGUGGUUGCACACGCUUCAGCCUGGGAACAUAACAGUCUGUAAAUAUUCUGUGUGCAGUGUUCAAACUGUUUUACGCGCGUGUGUAUUUGGAUUUGUGCACAUGUACAAGAGGACACAACCAGACUUCAGUAAAAGCGAGAAAAGUCACGCCUUUCAUUUUUUUAUUGGAGCACAACCCUUAUCUGACUGGCCUACGCAUGGUGUACGCAUGGUGAGCGCAGUACAGUCAACCUAAAACAUGACAGUCAAAAACAGCCUACUAUCAUAACAAUGAUUUAAGUAGGAUGUAAAUGUCCAGAACAGUAAUAUAAAGGAAACUGUUAAUAUGUGUCCUACUAGACAUCAUUAUGCUAAAUUACCAAAGGUGGCACAGAAGCAAGUUGUACAUAUAUUAAUACAACACAUUUAAAGCAAAAACAUAAAUCUCUGCUACAGUAAUUGUAUUUGAUUGAUUUGUGCCAACCACCAUUCCAACAUGUCACACAUCCAACAUACCAUUUAUUCCACAGGU